UCUUGGACAAUGGGCGAAAGCCUGAUCCAGCAAUGCCGCGUGAGUGACGAAGGCCUUAGGGUUGUAAAGCUCUUUUACCAGGGAUGAUAAUGACAGUACCUGGAGAAUAAGCUCCGGCUAACUCCGUGCCAGCAGCCGCGGUAAGACGGAGGGCGCGAGCGCUGUUCGGAAUUACUGGGCGUAAAGCGCGCGCAGGCGGACGGUGCAAGUCAGGGGUGAAAUUCUGGGGCUCAACCCCGGAGCUGCUCUUGAUACUGCCUGUCUAGGGACCGGUAGGGGCCGGUGGAAUUCCCGGUGUAGCGGUGGAAUGCGUAGAGAUCGGGAAGAACACCCGUGGCGAAGGCGGCCGGCUGGGCCGGAUCCGGCGCUGAGGCGCGAAAGCGUGGGGAGCAAAC
RNAcentral lists this ribosomal RNA (395 nucleotides) under uncultured bacterium. RNAcentral describes it as "bacterial SSU rRNA". It matches the Rfam family "Bacterial small subunit ribosomal RNA", at positions 362 to 773 of the family's 1533-position model. The record is from RNAcentral.